CUUGAGUUUUAAAAUAAGGUUAAUUUUGUAUAGAUCCCUGCAAAUAUAGUGAAUGAUAAAUAUAUCUUUAUAAGGUUUAACUUUCAUAUAUUGUCCCCACAAAGGUUCUGAUAUUUUCAAAUAUAUCCCUGUCUUUAGAAUCCGUUACAAAAAUUUAGUUCACCAUAUGUUAAAUACUUAAUUCUGAUUAGUUUUUAACAUUUUUAUCCCUUUAUAUUAUACUGUUAUGAUUUUUGGCGGAAUAUAUUUAUGAUAAUAAAAUAGAAAAUAUAAAUAAUUCUCUAACGGUAACAAACUAGAUAAAAAUAUUUGAAAACAUCAUGACUUUUCUAGGGACAACAUAUGAAAGUUGAACUUUAUAGAGAUAUAUUUGUCAUUCAAUAUAUUUAUAGGGACCUGUAUGAAAUUAACCGUUUUAAAAAUAUUAUACAUACUAUCAGCCCAG
Molecule: long non-coding RNA, 445 nt
Filed under: Ananas comosus (pineapple)
Lineage: Eukaryota; Viridiplantae; Streptophyta; Magnoliopsida; Poales; Bromeliaceae
Description: long non-coding RNA (ACOM_LNC030913)
Source: RNAcentral